RNAcentral lists this ribosomal RNA (301 nucleotides) under uncultured bacterium. RNAcentral describes it as "partial 16S ribosomal RNA". It matches the Rfam family "Bacterial small subunit ribosomal RNA", at positions 509 to 807 of the family's 1533-position model. The record is from RNAcentral.
CAGUAGCCUCGGUAAUACGAAGGGUGCAAGCGUUACUCGGAAUUACUGGGCGUAAGGCGUGCGUAGGUGGUGGUUUAAGUCCGUUGUGAAAGCCCUGGGCUCAACCUGGGAAUUGCAGUGGAUACUGGGUCACUAGAGUGUGGUAGAGGAUAGUGGAAUUUCCGGUGUAGCAGUGAAAUGCGUAGAGAUCUGGAGGAAUACCGGUGGCGAAGGCGGCCCCCUGGACAAAGACUGACGCUCAGGUGCGAAAGCGUGAGGAGCAAACAGGAUUAGAUACCCCCGUAGUCCCUGUCUCUUAUAC